GCCAGGCGCGGUGGCGCGUGCCUGUAGUCCCAGCUACUCGGGAGGCUGAGGUGGGAGGAUCGCUUGAGCCCAGAAGUUCUGGGCUGUAGUGUGCUAUGCCAAUUGGGUGUCCGCACUAAGUUCGGCAUCAAUAUGGUGACCUCCUGGGAGCGGGGGGACCACCAGGUUGCCUAAGGAGGGGUGAACGGGCCCAGGUCAGUAAUGGAGCAGGUCAAAACUCCCGUGCUGAUCAGUAGUGGGAUCGCGCCUGUGAAUAGCCACUGCACUCCAGCCUGGAAAACAUAGCGAGAACUCAUCUCU
This 300-nucleotide signal recognition particle RNA is filed under the name Aotus nancymaae (Ma's night monkey). RNAcentral describes it as "Metazoan signal recognition particle RNA (ENSANAG00000002018.1)". It matches the Rfam family "Metazoan signal recognition particle RNA". Rfam says of the family: The signal recognition particle (SRP) is a universally conserved ribonucleoprotein. It is involved in the co-translational targeting of proteins to membranes. Lineage: Eukaryota; Metazoa; Chordata; Mammalia; Primates; Aotidae. The record is from RNAcentral.